RNAcentral lists this ribosomal RNA (567 nucleotides) under uncultured bacterium. RNAcentral's name for it is "bacterial SSU rRNA". It matches the Rfam family "Bacterial small subunit ribosomal RNA", at positions 68 to 630 of the family's 1533-position model. The record is from RNAcentral.
GGCAGCACGGGCUUCGGCCUGGUGGCGAGUGGCGAACGGGUGAGUAAUGCGUCGGAACGUGCCGAGUAAUGGGGGAUAACGCAUCGAAAGGUGUGCUAAUACCGCAUACGCUCUGAGGAGGAAAGCGGGGGACCUUCGGGCCUCGCGUUAUUCGAGCGGCCGACGUCUGAUUAGCUAGUUGGUGGGGUAAAGGCUCACCAAGGCGACGAUCAGUAGCGGGUCUGAGAGGAUGAUCCGCCACACUGGGACUGAGACACGGCCCAGACUCCUACGGGAGGCAGCAGUGGGGAAUUUUGGACAAUGGGCGAAAGCCUGAUCCAGCCAUGCCGCGUGAGUGAAGAAGGCCUUCGGGUUGUAAAGCUCUUUUGUCCGGGAGGAAAUCCCGCAACCUAAUACGUUGCGGGGAUGACAGUACUGGAAGAAUAAGCACCGGCUAACUACGUGCCAGCAGCCGCGGUAAUACGUAGGGUGCAAGCGUUAAUCGGAAUUACUGGGCGUAAAGCGUGCGCAGGCGGUUUGAUAAGUCAGAUGUGAAAUCCCCGGGCUUAACCUGGGAACUGCGUUUGA